This 381-nucleotide ribosomal RNA is filed under the name uncultured eukaryote. RNAcentral's name for it is "partial 18S ribosomal RNA". It matches the Rfam family "Eukaryotic small subunit ribosomal RNA", at positions 592 to 976 of the family's 1831-position model. The record is from RNAcentral.
CAAUAGCGUAUAUUAAAGUUGUUGCAGUUAAAAAGCUCGUAGUUGGAUUUCUACCGAAGAUAGCCGGUCGGGUCUUCGACCUUGUAUCUGGUUUUGUCUUUGGUAUCCUCAUAGGGAACGUUUCUGCGCUUUAUUGCGUGGUGCGGUAUCUAUGACUUUUACUUUGAGGAAAUUAGAGUGUUCACGGCAGGCAAACGCCUUGAAUAUAUUAGCAUGGAAUAAUAACAUAGGAUCUUCGUCCUAUUUUGUUGGUUUCUAGGGCUAAGAUAAUGAUUAAUAGGGAUAAUUGGGGGCAUCUGUAUCAACGCGUCAGAGGUGGAAUUCUUGGAUUGCGUUGCGACAAACUACUGCGAAAGCAUUUGCCAAGGAUGUUUUCAUUGA